This 380-nucleotide ribosomal RNA is filed under the name uncultured bacterium. Its description in RNAcentral is "bacterial SSU rRNA". It matches the Rfam family "Bacterial small subunit ribosomal RNA", at positions 32 to 422 of the family's 1533-position model. The record is from RNAcentral.
AAUCAACGCUGGCGGCGUGCCUAACACAUGCAAGUCGCACGAGAAAGGGACUUCGGUCCUGAGUAAAGUGGCGCACGGGUGAGUAACACGUGACUAAUCUACCCUCGAGUGGGGAAUAACCUAGGGAAACCUGGGCUAAUACCGCAUAACACUUACGAGUCAAAGCAGCAAUGCGCUUGGGGAGGAGGUCGCGGCAGAUUAGUUAGUUGGCGGGGUAAUGGCCCACCAAGACGANGAUCUGUAUCCGGCCUGAGAGGGCGCACGGACACACUGGAACUGAAACACGGUCCAGACUCCUACGGGAGGCAGCAGUGGGGAAUUUUGCGCAAUGGGGGAAACCCUGACGCAGCAACGCCGCGUGGAGGACGAAGUCUCUUGGG